Molecule: transfer RNA, 64 nt
Filed under: Echyridella menziesii
Lineage: Eukaryota; Metazoa; Mollusca; Bivalvia; Unionida; Hyriidae
Description: tRNA-Trp
Source: RNAcentral
CAAGGGUUUAAGUUAAAUAAACUAAAGGCCUUCAAAGCCUUAAAUGGCCUCAAUCAACCCUUGU